Molecule: ribosomal RNA, 389 nt
Filed under: uncultured bacterium
Lineage: Bacteria
Description: bacterial SSU rRNA
Rfam family: Bacterial small subunit ribosomal RNA
Source: RNAcentral
CUACCCUUGACAUGCUAGGAAUUCUGCAGAGAUGUGGAAGUGCUCGAAAGAGAACCUAGACACAGGUGCUGCAUGGCCGUCGUCAGCUCGUGUCGUGAGAUGUUGGGUUAAGUCCCGCAACGAGCGCAACCCUUGUCCCUAGUUGCUACGCAAGAGCACUCUAGGGAGACUGCCGGUGACAAACCGGAGGAAGGUGGGGAUGACGUCAAGUCCUCAUGGCCCUUAUGGGUAGGGCUUCACACGUCAUACAAUGGUCGGAACAGAGGGUCGCCAACCCGCGAGGGGGAGCCAAUCCCAGAAAACCGAUCGUAGUCCGGAUCGCACUCUGCAACUCGAGUGCGUGAAGCUGGAAUCGCUAGUAAUCGCGGAUCAGCUUGCCGCGGUGAAUA